Molecule: non-coding RNA, 301 nt
Filed under: Coccidioides immitis H538.4
Lineage: Eukaryota; Fungi; Ascomycota; Eurotiomycetes; Onygenales; Onygenaceae
Description: Eukaryotic small subunit ribosomal RNA
Rfam family: Eukaryotic small subunit ribosomal RNA
Source: Rfam by way of RNAcentral
CUUUGUUAAAACCUUGUCGUUGCUGGGGAAUAGAAGCAUUGCAAAUUAUUGCUUCUUUCAAACGAAGGAUAGCCUAUGUAGGCACAAGUCCAUCAGCUUGUUGCCCGAUUACGUCCCCUGCCCUUUUGUACACAACCGCCCGUCGCUUACUACCGAUUGAAUGGCUCAGUGAGGCCUUCGGACUGGCUCAGGGAGGUUGGCAACGACCACCCAGAGCCGGAAAGUUGGUCAAACUUGGUCAUUUAGAGGAAGUAAAAGUCGUAACAAGGUUUCCGUAGGUGAACCUGCGGAAGGAUCAUUA